This 402-nucleotide ribosomal RNA is filed under the name Triticum aestivum (bread wheat). Its description in RNAcentral is "partial small subunit ribosomal RNA". Lineage: Eukaryota; Viridiplantae; Streptophyta; Magnoliopsida; Poales; Poaceae. The record is from RNAcentral.
AUGGCGGAAAACAUAAAGGAGAGGGUCAAGUUACAAGCCGACAUCGGGCCGGGGAAGAGAGAAGGCAUGGCGUCGCUGGUGGAGAUGAUGGUGACGAAGGCAACAUCGAUGAAGAUGGCGGUGAUGGAGGCGACACGGUGGAGAUGGCACUGGCCUAAAGGCCGGUGCGCGUGGUGGCGGAGGCUCCCCUUCUUACUUCUUGUAUUCGCCCUUCUUAUUCCAUCGAGGUCGUUUUGGAGCAGCAAUGGAGGUGUUGUGAUCUUAUCUUGGAUGAAUGAGGGCCUGAUGCCAGCAGCUAGGGUUGAAGGUGUAUAUAAGGGGCUUCUUCGGUUAUCCUUCGUAGAUGUGACUUCCUUCUCCUUAUUAUGCCCUCAUGCGACUUCCUUCUUCUUCUUCUUCUAG